UACGUAGGGGGCUACCGUUGUCCGGAAUCAUUGGGCGUAAAGAGCGUGUAGGCGGUCCGGUAAGUCCGCUGUGAAAGUCGGGGGCUCAACCCUCGAAUGCCGGUGGAUACUGUCGGGCUAGAGUGCGGAAGAGGCGAGUGGAACUCCUGGUGUAGCGGUGAAAUGCGCAGAUAUCAGGAGGAACACCUAUUGCGAAGGCAGCUCGCUGGGACGUAACUGACGCUGAGACGCGAAAGCGUGGGGAGCAAGCAGG
This 253-nucleotide ribosomal RNA is filed under the name uncultured bacterium. RNAcentral describes it as "partial 16S ribosomal RNA". It matches the Rfam family "Bacterial small subunit ribosomal RNA", at positions 524 to 776 of the family's 1533-position model. The record is from RNAcentral.